UACGUAGGGUGCAAGCGUUGUCCGGAAUUAUUGGGCGUAAAGGGCUCGUAGGCGGUCCAUCACGUCGGGAGUGAAAAGCUGGGGCUUAACCCCAGUCCUGCUUCCGAUACGGGUGGACUAGAGGUAGGCAGGGGAGAACGGAAUUCCUGGUGUAGCGGUGAAAUGCGCAGAUAUCAGGAGGAACACCGGUGGCGAAGGCGGAUCUCUGGGCCGAUACUGACGCUGAGGAGCGAAAGCGUGGGGAGCGAACAGG
RNAcentral lists this ribosomal RNA (253 nucleotides) under uncultured bacterium. RNAcentral describes it as "partial 16S ribosomal RNA". It matches the Rfam family "Bacterial small subunit ribosomal RNA", at positions 524 to 776 of the family's 1533-position model. The record is from RNAcentral.